UUUUACUUACUCCGUGAAUC
RNAcentral lists this small nuclear RNA (20 nucleotides) under Arabidopsis thaliana (thale cress). RNAcentral's name for it is "snRNA_14907". The record is from RNAcentral. Lineage: Eukaryota; Viridiplantae; Streptophyta; Magnoliopsida; Brassicales; Brassicaceae.